GCGCAGCAGGCGCGAAUACUUUACAAUGUGCGAAAGCACGAUAAGGGAACUCUGAGUGCCUCCUAAGGAGGCUGUUCAGGUGUCUAAAAGCACCUGAAGGAAGGGCUGGGUAAGACCGGUGCCAGCCGCCGCGGUAACACCGGCAGCCCAAGUGGUAGCCACGUUUAUUGGGUCUAAAGCGUCCGUAGCCGGCUGGGUAAGUUCCUUGGGAAAUUUGGCUGCUUAACAGUCAAGCUUUCAGGGAAUACUGCCCGGCUUGGGACCGGGAGAGGUCAGAGGUACUCCAGGGGUAGGGGUGAAAUCCAUUAAUCCUUGGGGGACCACCGGUAGCGAAGGCGUCUGACCAGACCGGGUCCGACGGUGAGGGACGAAGGCUAGGGGCGCGAACCGGAUUAGAUACCCCCGUA
Molecule: ribosomal RNA, 407 nt
Filed under: uncultured microorganism
Description: bacterial SSU rRNA
Rfam family: Archaeal small subunit ribosomal RNA
Source: RNAcentral